UAUCCUAACUACGACAGCNCGUNUNAUGCAUCUAGCUUUAGGCCGUUGGUAUCUAUAGAGAUCUCACCACCCUGGCCGCUUCGGUCUGUGCACAGCCUAACACAUGCAAGUCGAACGGUAACAGGAAGCAGCUUGCUGCUUUGCUGACGAGUGGCGGACGGGUGAGUAAUGUCUGGGAAACUGCCUGAUGGAGGGGGAUAACUACUGGAAACGGUAGCUAAUACCGCAUAACGUCGCAAGACCAAAGAGGGGGACCUUCGGGCCUCUUGCCAUCGGAUAGUGCCCAGAUGGGAUUAGCUAGUAGGUGGGGUAACGGCUCACCUAGGCGACGAUCCCUAGCUGGUCUAGAGAGGAUGACCAGCCACACUAGGAACUGAACGCAUCUCGG
This 388-nucleotide ribosomal RNA is filed under the name uncultured bacterium. RNAcentral describes it as "bacterial SSU rRNA". The stretch from base 95 to 388 matches the Rfam family "Bacterial small subunit ribosomal RNA", at positions 46 to 334 of the family's 1533-position model. The record is from RNAcentral.